Molecule: microRNA precursor, 83 nt
Filed under: Vicugna pacos (alpaca)
Lineage: Eukaryota; Metazoa; Chordata; Mammalia; Artiodactyla; Camelidae
Description: miRNA (ENSVPAG00000017153.1)
Source: RNAcentral
GAUACAAAUGUUGAUUCCCAGGCUCUGUCUCAGAUCUACUGAAUCAGAAUUUCAGGGGGUGGAGUCCAGGAAUCUGCAUUUAU